UGGGGAAUUUUGGACAAUGGGCGAAAGCCUGAUCCAGCAAUGCCGCGUGUGUGAAGAAGGCCUUCGGGUUGUAAAGCACUUUUGUCCGGAAAGAAAUCCUUGGCUCUAAUACAGUCGGGGGAUGACGGUACCGGAAGAAUAAGCACCGGCUAACUACGUGCCAGCAGCCGCGGUAAUACGUAGGGUGCAAGCGUUAAUCGGAAUUACUGGGCGUAAAGCGUGCGCAGGCGGUUUGCUAAGACCGAUNUGAAAUCCCCGGGCUCAACCUGGGAACUGCAUUGGUGACUGGCAGGCUAGAGUAUGGCAGAGGGGGGUAGAAUUCCACGUGUAGCAGUGAAAUGCGUAGAGAUGUGGAGGAAUACCGAUGGCGAAGGCAGCCCCUGGGCCAAUACUGACGCUCAUGCACGAAAGCGUGGGGAGCAAACAGGUUAGAUACCCUGGUAGUCCACGCCCUAAAACGAUGUCAACUAGUUGUUGGGGAUUCAUUUCCUUAGUAAC
This 498-nucleotide ribosomal RNA is filed under the name uncultured bacterium. RNAcentral describes it as "partial 16S ribosomal RNA". It matches the Rfam family "Bacterial small subunit ribosomal RNA", at positions 355 to 847 of the family's 1533-position model. The record is from RNAcentral.